This 253-nucleotide ribosomal RNA is filed under the name uncultured bacterium. Its description in RNAcentral is "partial 16S ribosomal RNA". It matches the Rfam family "Bacterial small subunit ribosomal RNA", at positions 524 to 776 of the family's 1533-position model. The record is from RNAcentral.
CACGUAGGAGACAAGUGUUAUCCGGAGUUACUGGGCGUAAAGGGCUCGUAGGCGGCCAACUAAGUCAGACGUGAAAUCCCUCGGCUUAACCGGGGAACUGCGUCUGAUACUGGAUGGCUUGAGGUUGGGAGAGGGAUGCGGAAUUCCAGGUGUAGCGGUGAAAUGCGUAGAUAUCUGGAGGAACACCGGUGGCGAAGGCGGCAGCCUGGACCAAUUCUGACGCUGAGGAGCGAAAGCCAGGGGAGCAAACGGG